Molecule: ribosomal RNA, 524 nt
Filed under: Malachius bipustulatus
Lineage: Eukaryota; Metazoa; Arthropoda; Insecta; Coleoptera; Melyridae
Description: partial 16S ribosomal RNA
Rfam family: Bacterial large subunit ribosomal RNA (bases 388-524)
Source: RNAcentral
CAUGUCCUUUUGAUUAUAAUUUAAGGUCUAAUCUGCCCACUGAUUUUUAAAUGGCCGCAGUAAUUUGACUGUGCUAAGGUAGCAUAAUCAUUAGUUUUUUAAUUGAAAGCUGGAAUGAAUGAUUGGAUGAAAUAAAAACUGUCUCAAUUUUAAUAAAUUAGAAUUUUAUUUUUAAGUUAAAAAGCUUAAAUAUAUUUAAAAGACGAGAAGACCCUAUAGAGUUUUAUAUAAUAAUAAUAAUUAAAAUUAUAAUAUAUUAAAAUUUUGUUAUUUUUAUUAUAUUUUGUUGGGGUGACAAAAAAAUUUAAUAAACUUUUUUUUUAUAAAAACAUAUGUAAAUGAUUAGAUGAUCCAUUAUUAAUGAUUAUAAGAUUAAAUUACCUUAGGGAUAACAGCGUAAUUUUUUUUAAGAGUUCAAAUCGAAAAAAAAGAUUGCGACCUCGAUGUUGGAUUAAAGUUUAAUUUUGGUGUAGCAGCUAAAAAUUUGAGUCUGUUCGACUCUUGAAACUUUACAUGAUCUGAGU